UACGAAGGGGGCUAGCGUUGUUCGGAAUUACUGGGCGUAAAGCGUUUGUAGGCGGUCUUUUAAGCCAGUGGUGAAAGCCCAGGGCUCAACCCUGGAAUUGCCAUUGGUACUGGAAGGCUAGAGAGUGUUAGAGGUUAGUGGAAUUCCUAGUGUAGGAGUGAAAUCCGUAGAGAUUAGGAGGAAUAUCGAUGGCGAAGGCAGCUAACUGGAGCAUUUCUGACGCUGAGAAACGAAAGCGUGGGUAGCAAACAGG
This 253-nucleotide ribosomal RNA is filed under the name uncultured bacterium. RNAcentral's name for it is "partial 16S ribosomal RNA". It matches the Rfam family "Bacterial small subunit ribosomal RNA", at positions 524 to 776 of the family's 1533-position model. The record is from RNAcentral.